CAAAACGGUCUUCCAGUAAAAAGAUGGUCAAGAAAAAAUCCAGCAGGAGAAAGUCUAAAAAAUAGUCUAGUUCGGAUACGGAGUCGACAGCGUCUGAGACGUCAUCCUUCGAAAACCCGGCAUCUUCAUGUGAUAGUAAUGAAGAUGACUGUUACGGCAUACUUCCAGCUAUCAAGAUAAAAAGCAAGACUGACAAAGUAAAAAAGGAAAAGAAAAAGAAAGAAAAAGUAAAAGAGAAAGGAAAAGAAAAGAAGAAGCGGGACACCUCAUCUUUAGAAUCAGAUUAAAAU
This 290-nucleotide long non-coding RNA is filed under the name Manihot esculenta (cassava). Its description in RNAcentral is "long non-coding RNA (MESC_LNC004840)". Lineage: Eukaryota; Viridiplantae; Streptophyta; Magnoliopsida; Malpighiales; Euphorbiaceae. The record is from RNAcentral.